This 75-nucleotide transfer RNA is filed under the name Thermococci archaeon. RNAcentral's name for it is "tRNA-Met". It matches the Rfam family "tRNA". From Rfam's summary of the family: Transfer RNA (tRNA) molecules are approximately 80 nucleotides in length. Their secondary structure includes four short double-helical elements and three loops (D, anti-codon, and T loops). Further hydrogen bonds mediate the characteristic L-shaped molecular structure. tRNAs have two regions of fundamental functional importance: the anti-codon, which is responsible for specific mRNA codon recognition, and the 3' end, to which the tRNAs corresponding amino acid is attached (by aminoacyl-tRNA synthetases). tRNAs cope with the degeneracy of the genetic code in two manners: having more than one tRNA (with a specific anti-codon) for a particular amino acid; and 'wobble' base-pairing, i.e. permitting non-standard base-pairing at the 3rd anti-codon position. The record is from RNAcentral. Lineage: Archaea; Methanobacteriati; Methanobacteriota; Thermococci.
UGCGGGGUAGAGUAGUCAGGAGUACUCACUGGGCUCAUGACCCAGAGAUCAGAGGUUCAAAUCCUCUCCCCGCAA